This 872-nucleotide ribosomal RNA is filed under the name Chondrina kobelti. RNAcentral's name for it is "partial large subunit ribosomal RNA". The record is from RNAcentral. Lineage: Eukaryota; Metazoa; Mollusca; Gastropoda; Stylommatophora; Chondrinidae.
UAAACAAUAAUUAUUUUGAAUAAAAUCUCCCGAAAUAAAAAGAUCAAAAAAGUUAUAGGUUGUAGUCAUUGAAAUUAAAUAUGUGGCAUAAUGUGGUUGUAAUAAUUUUUUAGAGGAGAAAUUCCAACAAUUUUUAAGGUAGCUGGAUUAAAGGAAAAAGUAUUAAGUACUAAAGACAAUUAUAAAGUGAUAAGAUUUUAUAAUAUAAAUAAGGUUCUUUUAAUAGUCCUAGGGUUAAUCCUCUAAAGUUUGUUAUUAUGACAACAUUUUUUAGAUAUAUCUUUUUACACCAAACCUUUAAACUUUGAGUAAUUGGUAUGCAAAGUUUUUAAUGUUUAAAUUAGUAUUUUUUAUAAUUUUUAUUAAGGAAUUCGGCAAACAUCUUAUUCGACUGUUUACCAAAAACAUAGUCCAUUGUUUUUUAUAAUGGAUAUUGACUGCCCGGUGAGAUAUUUAACGGCCGCAGUACCUUGACUGUGCGAAGGUAGCAUAAUAAUUUGGCCUUUAAAUGGGGUCUAGAAUGAAUGGAUUUACGGAUAAUAGCUGUCUCAAAUUUUAAUUGUGGAAAAUUUAUUUAAAAGGUGCAAAUACCUUUAUAUCAAUAUAAUAGACGAGAAGACCCUUAGAAUUUAAUUUAAAAUAGGAUAAUUCUUUUUUUUUAAUUUUGUUGGGGCAACAGAGCAGCAGUGAUAAUCUGCUUUUUCUUUUAAAAAGAUUGGCCGACUAGUAGUAGGAAAAUAUAAAUUACCUUAGGGAUAACAGCAUAAUUUAGUAAAGAUUGUGACCUCGAUGUUGGAUUAGGGCCAUGUUAAUUUAGCCAAUUAAUAUUGAUAGUUCUGUUCGAACUUUAUUACCUACAUGAUCUGAGUUCA